GCCGCUUCUCAUUUUCUGGCCUCUUAAACCCUGAAAAUUUGUCUUCAUCAGAUAUCAAUGGCUUUCUACAACAAACUUGGUGGUCUUUUGAGGCAGAGCAUCUCAACAAGUGGCAAUACAUUAAACGCACAAUCAUCAGCACCUUCAAUGCUUAAUGCCAUCCGUUGCAUGUCAACAAAGCUUUUUGUUGGAGGUCUUUCAUUUGGAACUGACGAUCUGUCUCUGAGGGAAGCCUUCACCAGUUUUGGUGAUGUCGUCGAGGCUAAGGUCAUCAUGGAUAGAGAUUCUGGGAAAUCAAAGGGAUUUGGAUUCGUGAACUUCACAGACGGCCAAUCUGCCCAAGAUGCUAUGUCAGCAAUGGAUGGACAGGAUCUCAACGGGAGGAACAUCCGCGUCUCUCUAGCCCAAGAGAGAGCUCCACGCAGCGGUGGUUUUCGUUCUGGUGGUGGCGGAUAUGGUGGUGGUGGAUUUGGCGGUGGCUAUGGUGGAUCUAGACAAAAUGAUGCAUACUAAGUAAAACUUGUAAUCUUUGCUCACUUGUCUAUACAAGCAUGGCAAAUUUCGUAGGUAGGAGAUAGAACGUAACGCGAUUUUGUGUUGAACGGAUUUUCCUUAGCUUUUAAUGUAUGGUUCUAUAUUAAGGUUUUAUCAUAUGAUCACUUGACUUG
This 668-nucleotide unclassified non-coding RNA is filed under the name Hevea brasiliensis (rubber tree). Lineage: Eukaryota; Viridiplantae; Streptophyta; Magnoliopsida; Malpighiales; Euphorbiaceae. The record is from RNAcentral.